Molecule: ribosomal RNA, 510 nt
Filed under: uncultured bacterium
Lineage: Bacteria
Description: partial 16S ribosomal RNA
Rfam family: Bacterial small subunit ribosomal RNA
Source: RNAcentral
GACGAACGCUGGCGGCGUGCUUAACACAUGCAAGUCGAACGAAGAGCGAUGGAAGCUUGCUUCUAUCAAUCUUAGUGGCGCACGGGUGAGUAACGCGUAAUCAACCUGCCCUUCAGAGGGGGCCACCAGUUGGAAACGACUGCUAAUCCCGCAUACUAUCUCAUCUCGGCAUCGAGGAUAGAUUAACGGUGGCCUCUACAUGUAUGCUAUCACUCAAGGUUGGUUUUGCGUUUGAUUAGCUAGUUGGAGGGGUAAGGGACCACCAAGGCGCUGAUCAGUAGCCGGUCUGAGAGGAUGGAAGGCCACAAUGGGACUGGGACAGGGCACAGACGGCUACGGGAGGCAGCAGUGGGGAAACGGCCGGAAGGGAGGAAAGGUAGACGGAACAACGCAGCGGGAGGGAGGACGGGCUUCGGGUUGGAAAGAACGGUUAAUGGGGAGGAAAGGGCUUCUUGCGAAUAGGGAGAAGGAGUGACGGUACCGGAAUAGAAAGCCACGGCUAACUACGUG